CUUCGGUGAUGAUACGAUGACGAGUCGGAAUGGGACAGUCAGUCUCUGCGGUCACUGGGUCAGGGACACGUUCUGUGUCUCUGGGUUCAGUUCCUCAGAGCAGCGUGUCUCUUCAGUUGAAGACAUCGAGGCAUUUGUCUGAGAAGG
RNAcentral lists this small nucleolar RNA (147 nucleotides) under Oncorhynchus kisutch (coho salmon). The record is from RNAcentral. Lineage: Eukaryota; Metazoa; Chordata; Actinopteri; Salmoniformes; Salmonidae.